UGGAGACCCGUAUGAAUGGCUCCACGAGGGCUUAGCUGUCUCCCCCUCCCAGUCAAUGAAAUUGAUCUCCCCGUGCAGAAGCGGGGAUACUUACAUAAGACGAGAAGACCCUAUGGAGCUUAAGGCGCCAGGACAGCUCAUGUUAAACACCCCUAGAUAAAGGAAUGAACCUAGUGAAUCCUGCCCCAGUGUUUUUGGUUGGGGCGACCGCGGGGAAAUACAAAACCCCCAUGUGGAGUAGGAACACUAUAUGUUCCCAAACCCAAGAGCUACCGCUCUAAUAAACAGAAUUUCUGACCAGCUAAGAUCCGGCAAUGCCGAUCAACGGAAGGAGUUACCCUAGGGAUAACAGCGCAAUCCUCUUAAAGAGUCCUUAUCGACAAGGGGGUUUACGACCUCGAUGUUGGAUCAGGACAUCCUAAUGGUGCAGCCGCUAUUAAGGGUUCGUUUGUUCAACGAUUAAAGUCCU
This 469-nucleotide ribosomal RNA is filed under the name Spicara maena (blotched picarel). Its description in RNAcentral is "partial large subunit ribosomal RNA". It matches the Rfam family "Bacterial large subunit ribosomal RNA", at positions 1981 to 2597 of the family's 2925-position model. The record is from RNAcentral. Lineage: Eukaryota; Metazoa; Chordata; Actinopteri; Spariformes; Centracanthidae.